Molecule: ribosomal RNA, 245 nt
Filed under: uncultured Prevotella sp.
Lineage: Bacteria; Pseudomonadati; Bacteroidota; Bacteroidia; Bacteroidales; Prevotellaceae
Description: partial 16S ribosomal RNA
Rfam family: Bacterial small subunit ribosomal RNA
Source: RNAcentral
UACGGAAGGUCCGGGCGUUAUCCGGAUUUAUUGGGUUUAAAGGGAGCGCAGGCCGCAGAUUAAGCGUGACGUGAAAUGCCGCGGCUCAACCGUGGAAGUGCGUCGCGAACUGGUUUGCUUGAGUGGGUACGAUGCACGCGGAAUUUGUGGUGUAGCGGUGAAAUGCUUAGAUAUCACGAAGAACCCCGAUUGCGAAGGCAGCGUGCAAGUCCCUUACUGACGCUAAUGCUCGAAAGUGCGGGUAU